RNAcentral lists this ribosomal RNA (465 nucleotides) under uncultured bacterium. RNAcentral describes it as "partial 16S ribosomal RNA". It matches the Rfam family "Bacterial small subunit ribosomal RNA", at positions 28 to 507 of the family's 1533-position model. The record is from RNAcentral.
GACGAACGCUGGCGGCGUGCUUAACACAUGCAAGUCGAACGGAAAGGCCCUGCUUGCUGGGUACUCGAGUGGCGAACGGGUGAGUAACACGUGGGUGAUCUGCCCUGCACUUCGGGAUAAGCCUGGGCAACUGGGUCUAAUACCGGAUAGGAGCCAUUUUUAGUGUGAUGGUUGGAAAGUUUUUUCGGUGUUGGAUGAGCUCGCGGCCUAUCAGCUUGUUGGUGGGGUAAUGGCCUACCAAGGCGGCGACGGGUAGCCGGCCUGAGAGGGUGGACGGCCACAUUGGGACUGAGAUACGGCCCAGACGCCUACGGGAGGCAGAAGUGGGGAAUAUUGAACAAGGGGCGCAAGCCUGAUGCAGCGAGGCCGCGGGGGGGAUGACGGCCUUCGGGUUGAAAACUCCUUUCGCUAGGGACGAAGCUUUUUGUGACGGUACCUAGAGAAGAAGCACCGGCUAACUACGUG